RNAcentral lists this ribosomal RNA (479 nucleotides) under uncultured bacterium. RNAcentral describes it as "partial 16S ribosomal RNA". It matches the Rfam family "Bacterial small subunit ribosomal RNA", at positions 28 to 507 of the family's 1533-position model. The record is from RNAcentral.
GAUGAACGCUCGCGGGAGGCCUAACACAUGCAAGCCGAGCGGUAUUUGUUCUUCGGAACAGAGAGAGCGGCGCACGGGUGCGGAACACGUGUGCAACCUGCCUUUAUCUGGGGGAUAGCCUUUCGAAAGGAAGAUUAAUACCCCAUAAUAUAUUGAGUGGCAUCACUUGAUAUUGAAAACUCCGGUGGAUAGAGAUGGGCACGCGCAAGAUUAGAUAGUUGGUGAGGUAACGGCUCACCAAGUCAAUGAUCUUUAGGGGGCCUGAGAGGGUGACCCCCCACACUGGUACUGAGACACGGACCAGACUCCUACGGGAGGCAGCAGUGAGGAAUAUUGGACAAUGGGUUAGCGCCUGAUCCAGCCAUCCCGCGUGAAGGACGACGGCCCUAUGGGUUGUAAACUUCUUUUGUAUAGGGAUAAACCUACUCUCGUGAGAGUAGCUGAAGGUACUAUACGAAUAAGCACCGGCUAACUCCGUG